Calidris pugnax (ruff) is the source of this 315-nucleotide long non-coding RNA. RefSeq lists it as uncharacterized. NCBI's taxonomy places the organism in Eukaryota, Metazoa, Chordata, Aves, Charadriiformes, Scolopacidae. The transcript has 3 exons. The record is from RefSeq and is a predicted model, not a curated record.
CCUGAACACAAAUUGGCAGAAUCUAUGCAGCAAGAUUCUGAAAAUCAUCUCCAGUGAUCCAGAAAGCUUCAUAGCAAGCAGAAGAAGUCCUGCUCCUUGUCAUUGUGAUUAUGGAGAUGUGGGAAGCAGCAAUUGUUCAUCUUUCAAUGCUGUACUUUCAAACUCUGCAAUGUGACUGAUUGAUGCAAUGAAUAAUGUUUCCCUGACUGGCAUAUCUGUCUGGAGAACAAGAAGUGAAUCAAAGCUGAUCCCGUGGCACCUCCGUUAUCUAGGGCACAGAUCUCAGAUAUUCAGGGGAAACAUCUAGAAGAGGUA